Molecule: ribosomal RNA, 459 nt
Filed under: uncultured bacterium
Lineage: Bacteria
Description: partial 16S ribosomal RNA
Rfam family: Bacterial small subunit ribosomal RNA
Source: RNAcentral
CCUACGGGUGGCAGCAGUGAGGAAUAUUGGUCAAUGGGCGGGAGCCUGAACCAGCCAAGCCGCGUGAGGGAAGAAGGUACAGCGUAUCGUAAACCUCUUUUGUCAGGGAACAAAGGCGGGGACUAGUCCCCGGAUGAGGGUACCUGAAGAAAAAGCAUCGGCUAACUCCGUGCCAACAGCGGCGGUAAUACGGAGGAUGCGAGCGUUAUCCGGUUUUAUUGGGUUUAAAGGGUGGGCAGGCGGCCCGUUAAGUUAGCGGUAAAAGCCCGGGGCUCAACCCCGGCGAGCCGUUGAAACUGGCGGGCUGGAGUUGAAUAGAGGUACGCGGAAUGCGCGGUGUAGCGGUGAAAUGCGUAGAGAUUAGGAAGAACACCAGUGGCGAAGGCGAUUCUCUGGACUGUAACUGACGCUGAGGCUCGAAAGCGUGGGGAGCAAACAGGAUUAGAUACCCCUGUAGUC